This 391-nucleotide long non-coding RNA is filed under the name Anser brachyrhynchus (Pink-footed goose). RNAcentral's name for it is "lncRNA (ENSABRG00000014696.1)". Lineage: Eukaryota; Metazoa; Chordata; Aves; Anseriformes; Anatidae. The record is from RNAcentral.
UUAGCUGCCCAGCAGGGUAAAACCACCACAGGCUGUAACCUUUAGCUCCACCUUGUUAUUUAUGAAGUCUUUCAAAUACAAUAUUCCCAGUAUGAAUGAUCUCCAUUCAUUUCCUGCCUAUGGAAGAAAAAUAUGUCAUUGCUUGCCUUACCACAUACAGUUGGAUCUUGUAUUGAACAUUCCAGAAGCUCUCUGGGAGGACCUUACUCUCAGAUCUUACUCUGGUUGGUGGUGUUGGCGCUGUGUUCUUCGAGUCAGCUACCUCCCUAUGAUAACAGCAGAACAAACAGCAAGUCUACUGCUUGCAGUAGCUAUGGUUUUCCAACUUCCCCAGGGAUCUGAGAUCUGCUCUGUCUCUCAUCAGGGGCUGUGUUACAAUCUACAGCAAUGA